CGCUAGCUACAGGCUUAACACAUGCAAGUCGAGGGGUAGCAGGGUAGCAAUACCGCUGACGACCGGCGCACGGGUGAGUAACACGUAUCCAACCUUCCCAUAACUCGGGGAUAGCCUUUCGAAAGAAAGAUUAAUACCCGAUAGUACUUUAUUAAGGCAUCUUAAGAAAGUUAAAGAUUUAUUGGUUAUGGAUGGGGAUGCGUUCCAUUAGAUAGUUGGUGAGGUAACGGCUCACCAAGUCUUCGAUGGAUAGGGGUUCUGAGAGGAAGGUCCCCCACAUUGGUACUGAGACACGGACCAAACUCCUACGGGAGGCAGCAGUGAGGAAUAUUGGUCAAUGGGCGAGAGCCUGAACCAGCCAAGUAGCGUGAAGGAUGACGG
This 381-nucleotide ribosomal RNA is filed under the name uncultured Bacteroidales bacterium. RNAcentral's name for it is "bacterial SSU rRNA". It matches the Rfam family "Bacterial small subunit ribosomal RNA", at positions 34 to 414 of the family's 1533-position model. Lineage: Bacteria; Pseudomonadati; Bacteroidota; Bacteroidia; Bacteroidales. The record is from RNAcentral.